RNAcentral lists this ribosomal RNA (484 nucleotides) under uncultured bacterium. RNAcentral's name for it is "partial 16S ribosomal RNA". It matches the Rfam family "Bacterial small subunit ribosomal RNA", at positions 28 to 507 of the family's 1533-position model. The record is from RNAcentral.
GUUGAACGCUGGCGGCAGGCCUAACACAUGCAAGUCGAGCGGAUGAAGGGAGCUUGCUCCUGGAUUCAGCGUCGGACGGGUGAGUAAUGCCUAGGAAUCUGCCUGGUAGUGGGGGAUAACGUCCGGAAACGGGUGCUAAUACCGCAUACGUCCUGAGGGAGAAAGUUGGGGGUCUUCGGACCGCACGCUAUCAGAUGAGCCUAGGUCGGGUUUGCUAGUUGGUGGGGUAACGGCCUACCAAGGAGACGAUCCGUAACUGGUCUGAGAGGAUGAUAAGUCACACUGGAACUGAGACACGGUCCAGACUCCUACGGGAGGCAGCAGUGGGGAAUAUUGGACAAUGGGCGAAAGCCUGAUCCAGCCAUGCCGCGUGUGUGAAGAAGGUCUUCGGAUUGUAAAGCACUUUAAGUUGGGAGGAAGGGCAGUAAGUUAAUACCUUGCUGUUUUGACGUUACCAACAGAAUAAGCACCGGCUAACUUCGUG